This 290-nucleotide ribosomal RNA is filed under the name uncultured eukaryote. RNAcentral describes it as "partial 18S rRNA". It matches the Rfam family "Eukaryotic small subunit ribosomal RNA", at positions 111 to 414 of the family's 1831-position model. The record is from RNAcentral.
UAUAGUUUAUUUGAUACUCAACUUUACAUGGAUAACCGUGGGAAUUCUAGGGCUAAUACAUGCGUAAACCCGCAAGGGAUGUGUUUAUUAGAAUAAAACCAUCACAGCAGCAAUACUGUUGAAUUGGAAUAAUAAUAACCGAUCGAAUCGCAGGCGCAAGCGGCGAUAAAUCAUUCAAGUUUCUGACUUAUCAGCUAUCGUCGGUAAGGUAUUGGCUUACCGAGGCUAUGACGAGUAACGGAGAAUCAGGGUUUGAUUCCGGAGAGGGAGCCUGAGAAACGGCUACCACA